GGGCGCUUAGCUCAGCUGGUUCAGAGCACCUGCCUUACAAGCAGGGGGUCACUGGUUCGAAUCCAGUAGUGCCCA
RNAcentral lists this transfer RNA (75 nucleotides) under Candidatus Cloacimonadota bacterium. RNAcentral describes it as "tRNA-Val". It matches the Rfam family "tRNA". Rfam says of the family: Transfer RNA (tRNA) molecules are approximately 80 nucleotides in length. Their secondary structure includes four short double-helical elements and three loops (D, anti-codon, and T loops). Lineage: Bacteria; Pseudomonadati; Candidatus Cloacimonadota. The record is from RNAcentral. RNAcentral also lists the same sequence under 2 other names.